UCCUCCGGGGAAGGGGCGGUGUAGGCGGCGGCUGCGGCCGGAGCCGCCGAAGGGGCGGGGGUUUCCAGCGGAAACCAAACUGGGGCACGAACCGUUCGCAUGGCAGCUGCUCCUGACAUAGACAAAGCAACCGGGCUGGGGCCAGCAGGAGCGGCUAUGGGGGAAGUGGCCGGGGAUGGGGCGGCCAUGGCUGGCACAGGCGGUAUCUCCAAUGGGGACCGCAGGGCUUCCGUGGACCACGUAGCUGGGACCGAGGGAGGGCAGUCCCACGGCAUGUCCAGCUGAGCAGUCGUGGACCACGCAGCUGGGGCCAGGACCGGGGCAGGAGGCGCGGGCAGCAGCGGAACAGCCGUGAACGGCGGGGCAGACGCCGACAAGGAUGCACUGUCUCCUAUGGAAAUGAUCUUCGGCCAUUCCAGAGGCAUCCUGGAGUCAGCAAGGACAAGGCAAACACAAGGGCAUAGGGAGCAGCAAAGUCGAGAUGGAAAGAUGGGUUUGGAAGAAAGUGAAGUUCUGAAAGGUGUUACUUGUAACAACCUCAGUCACCAAGCAGGAGGAAGGAGCAAAGAGAGGAAAAAAAAUGAAAAGACUGAGAUCUGACUGCACAGAGCAGGACAGAGAAAGGUGUCCAGAGACAUCAGGAAACACAUGGAGAGAAGAGGAUUCUCAAUAGGAAAUGGCAGAUCCUUUACACUUCAAGGACAAUGUGGAGAAUGAACAGGAGAUUUUUUUCCACCUCUACAAUCAAAUUUCACACUUGUCCCAUUAUAAUCCAGGGAUAACAAUGAAAACUUCAGGGAAAUAAGGACUGAUGGCACAAUUCUGUCCUUACGGACACCAUGGGCCUUCAGAGCUUCACCUCCCAUCUGUGGUGGUUUUCCAGCAGAAACUCAACCACAUAGAACUUGGGGACUUCACAAAGUCUAAAUACACUUUUAUUGGUGUAAGAGAAAUGAAAGGGAACAGCCAACAGGGCAAGAACUUGAAGGUGUUUGUUGGGAAAGGUAAAAGUUUAACAGGAAAGUUUCACAGAUAUAUAGGUUUAGCAGAAGGCUCUUUGAAUGUGAAACUUAAGAAUAGAAUAGAAAUUAAAGCAAGUUUUGAUACAGAAGAAUAAAGGAUGUCUAAAGCAAGAAUUGCUGAGAGUUGUUACAGGACAACUAAGAAAGCAAAGGUUAAGUCGAGUUUGAAAGAGGUUUUAUGGCUGGAGCAAAGGAUAUGUUGACCACAAACAAAGAUGUUUUGACCAAGCAGAAAUAGGUCUUAGAAAAGCAAAAGAUACUAUAAGCAAACAAAAACCAUGUUUUUACCAAGUAGAAACAAAGUCUAAGAAUUUUCCACUGCAAGAAAACAGAAAAACAACUUUAAGCUUAAACUGUAACACAAUAUGGUAAUAUUAGUAGUUAGGCUAUAGGUAAAUGUAAAGGUAUUACGUAUGAUGCUGAUUGGUUUCUAUGUAUUAAGAUGCUCGGCAAAGAAAACUAUAUAAUGCAUCGUACCCAGAAUCAAUGUGACUUCAGGCAUGCCCAUAUGCUGUAGCUGGCAGCAUUAGGCUGACUCUGUAUCACCCAUGACCCAGGACUGCUGUAACAUCAUCUGUGGGUACUGACAGUGGUCGGAUUUUAGGCUUCAGGCACUGCUAGAGUCUGUGUGAAAGACAAGCGAGCAACUUUUUCAUUCUGGCCUGGGAAAAUCUUAAGGAGGAACCAAAACAAUCCUUGGGAAGUGGAAAACCAUCAGUAGGUGGUGUUUUUUCAACAUGUUUACUGGCAAAGUUGUUUACAGGAGGUGUGGGCUCUGAAUGACCAAUCAUAUUCAUUGUACUGAAGUACUGUAUAAAAGGAAGAUUCAGAAGAAUAAAGAUUGCUCUCAUUUUUGCAUCACA
Long non-coding RNA from Prinia subflava (tawny-flanked prinia), 1885 nucleotides. RefSeq lists it as uncharacterized. NCBI's taxonomy places the organism in Eukaryota, Metazoa, Chordata, Aves, Passeriformes, Cisticolidae. The record is from RefSeq and is a predicted model, not a curated record. The transcript is spliced from 2 exons.